RNAcentral lists this ribosomal RNA (119 nucleotides) under Pteropus alecto (black flying fox). The record is from RNAcentral. Lineage: Eukaryota; Metazoa; Chordata; Mammalia; Chiroptera; Pteropodidae.
GUCUGUGGCCAUGCCACCCUGAACAAACCCAAUCCUGAAUGAUCUCAGAAGCUAAGCAGGGUCGGGCCUGGUUAGUACUUGUAUGGGAGACCACCUAGGAAGACUCCGUGCUAUAGGCG